Molecule: non-coding RNA, 282 nt
Organism: Pelobates cultripes (western spadefoot toad)
Lineage: Eukaryota; Metazoa; Chordata; Amphibia; Anura; Pelobatidae
Source: the annotation of a GenBank genome assembly
UCUGCCUGUGUGAAUUAGUCGGCAUGAAAUUUGACUGUGUAAAUUUACCAGUUUGAAUUCGCCUGUGUGAAUUCCCCAGAAAAUGUUGAAUUUUGCCCCAAAUGUAAUGCGUCGUUAAAUUCAAUGCGCAUUCGAAUUCUGGAAACUUUAUUUUCCAAAAAAGGUGCGCAUUAGAUUUGAGUAAAUACUGUAAUCCACCUUCACUCAUGGAGGGCUGUUGCUGUAUUUGCCUCGUGGAAAGAAUCAGCCUAUGUAAAUGUUAUAAAUUCUAUCUGUAAUGAC